CUUACGAGGUCCAGAUGAAAUAAGGAUUGACAGGUUGAGAGCUCUUUCUUGAUUUUUCAGGUGGUGGUGCAUGGCCGUUCUUAGUUCGUGGGGUGACUUGUCUGCUUAAUUGCGAUAACGAGCGAGACCUUCCUCUGCUAAAUAGCCCGGCUAGCUUUGGCUGGUCGCUGGCUUCUUAGAGAGACUAUCGACUCAAGUCGAUGGAAGUUGGAGGCAAUAACAGGUCUGUGAUGCCCUUAGAUGUUCUCGGCCACACGCGUAUUACACUGCGUGAGGCAACGAGUUAUUCACCUUGAUCGAAAGAUUUGGGUAAUCUUGUUAAACUCACGCGUGCUGGGGAUAGAGCAUUGCAAUUAUUGCUCUUCAACGAGGAAUGCCUAGUAAGCGUAUUUCAUCAAAAUGCGCUGAUUACGUCCCUGACCUUUGUACACACCGCCCGUCGCUACUACCGAUUGAAUGGCUCAGUGAGAAAUCCGGACUGGCUCGAGGAGAUUGGCAACGAUCACCCCAAGCCGGAAAGUUCUUCAAACUCGGUCAUUUAGAGGAAGUAAAAGUCGUAACAAGGU
RNAcentral lists this ribosomal RNA (566 nucleotides) under uncultured Pezizomycotina. RNAcentral describes it as "SSU rRNA". It matches the Rfam family "Eukaryotic small subunit ribosomal RNA", at positions 1214 to 1800 of the family's 1831-position model. Lineage: Eukaryota; Fungi; Ascomycota. The record is from RNAcentral.